GCCUGGGUGGCUCAGUUGGUUAAGUGUCUGACUUUGGCUCAGGUCAUGAUCUCAUGGUUCGUGAGUUUGAGCCCCACAUCAGGCU
This 85-nucleotide transfer RNA is filed under the name Felis catus (domestic cat). It matches the Rfam family "tRNA". Rfam says of the family: Transfer RNA (tRNA) molecules are approximately 80 nucleotides in length. Their secondary structure includes four short double-helical elements and three loops (D, anti-codon, and T loops). Further hydrogen bonds mediate the characteristic L-shaped molecular structure. tRNAs have two regions of fundamental functional importance: the anti-codon, which is responsible for specific mRNA codon recognition, and the 3' end, to which the tRNAs corresponding amino acid is attached (by aminoacyl-tRNA synthetases). tRNAs cope with the degeneracy of the genetic code in two manners: having more than one tRNA (with a specific anti-codon) for a particular amino acid; and 'wobble' base-pairing, i.e. permitting non-standard base-pairing at the 3rd anti-codon position. Lineage: Eukaryota; Metazoa; Chordata; Mammalia; Carnivora; Felidae. The record is from Rfam by way of RNAcentral. RNAcentral also lists the same sequence under 3 other names.